UACGGAGGGGGCUGGAGUUGUUCGGAAUUACUGGGCGUAAAGCGCACGUAGGCGGACUGGAAAGUCAGAGGUGAAAUCCCAGGGCUCAACCUUGGAACUGCCUUUGAAACUCCCGGUCUUGAGGUCGAGAGAGGUGAGUGGAAUUCCGAGUGUAGAGGUGAAAUUCGUAGAUAUUCGGAGGAACACCAGUGGCGAAGGUGGAUCACGGGUUCGAUACUGACGAUGAGUUGCGAAAUUUUGGGGAGCAAACAGG
This 253-nucleotide ribosomal RNA is filed under the name uncultured bacterium. Its description in RNAcentral is "partial 16S ribosomal RNA". It matches the Rfam family "Bacterial small subunit ribosomal RNA", at positions 524 to 776 of the family's 1533-position model. The record is from RNAcentral.